AUGCGCAUCAUGCUUGACUACACUGGCAAGUUCAAGGCUCUAGGCUGGGACAAUCACUCCAUGUCAUGGACACUCAUCAAUGAGCACCCCAAUAGUGCUUGCGAUCUCUACGCCUCUUGUGGCCCGUUUGGCUAUUGUGACUUCACCAAGGCCAUUCCAACAUGCCAGUGCUUUGAUGGGUUUGAGCCUGUAGACAGUAGUAACUCUUUUAAAGGAUGUCAGAGAAAAGAAGCGUUGAAAUGCCGCAAGCAAAGCCAUUUCACGUCUUUUCCUGGAAUGAAGGUUCCUGACAUGUUCUUGCAUAUAAGCAACAGAAACUUCGAUGACUGUGCAGCUGAGUGCAUCAACAAUUGCUCGUGUACAGGGUAUGCUUAUGCCAACUUGAGUAGCGGAGGUGCUAUGGCUGACCCGUCAAGGUGCUUAGUUUGGUCAGGGGAGCUUAUUGAUGCUCAGAAGAGAACCGUUGGCGAGAACCUGUACCUCCGACUUGCCAAUCCUGUCGACAAGGAAAUCGGUCCAGUAAAGAUUGUAGUCCCCAUUAUAUCAUGUCUGCUACUACUAGCAUGCAUAGUCUUCAUCUGGAUAUACAAAUAUAGAGGCAAAUGGGGAAAGCAGAAAUACCAGAAGAAACUGAUGCUAGGAUACAUUAGCACAUCCAACUCACUAGAAGGCAAAAAUACGGAAUUUCCAUGUUUUAGCUAUAAAGACAUACUUUCAGGAACAUUUUUUUUUCUGAUUCCAACUUGCUUGGACGUGGAGGUUUUGGCAAAGUUUACAAGGGCACACUGGAAGGUGGAAAUGAAGUUGCUGUCAAAAGGCUUAGUAAGAGUUCUGGGCAAGGUAUAG
Molecule: ribosomal RNA, 846 nt
Filed under: Triticum aestivum (bread wheat)
Lineage: Eukaryota; Viridiplantae; Streptophyta; Magnoliopsida; Poales; Poaceae
Description: partial small subunit ribosomal RNA
Source: RNAcentral